Molecule: unclassified non-coding RNA, 329 nt
Filed under: uncultured fungus
Lineage: Eukaryota; Fungi
Description: sequence contains ITS1
Source: RNAcentral
UUAACUAUUAUAUAGUACUCAGACGUCACUAAAACAAAAGAGUUUGGGUCCUCUGGCGGGCACGGUCAGCUGGAGCCAACGCCGUGAGGCGGCCCGCCAAAGCAACAAAGAAGGUAUACACGGGUGGUAGUUAUAAACCUAAAGCCGCAUUACUGCAAGCACCGCAAGAGCCAGAGCCAGCGGCCUUUCGGCGGCCGGAUGACCCUGCCCCCAUCCUUCCUACCCGUGAGGGUAGGUUGACUUGAGGGCAGUUAAAUACGUGGAAACGAUCCUAGCCUUUCGACAGGACACAACUAUUAAUGAUCCUUCCGCAGGUUCACCUACGGAAA